RNAcentral lists this ribosomal RNA (464 nucleotides) under uncultured bacterium. RNAcentral describes it as "partial 16S ribosomal RNA". It matches the Rfam family "Bacterial small subunit ribosomal RNA", at positions 339 to 795 of the family's 1533-position model. The record is from RNAcentral.
CUACGGGUUGCAGCAGUGGGGAAUAUUGCACAAUGGGCGCAAGCCUGAUGCAGCCAUGCCGCGUGUAUGAAGAAGGCCUUCGGGCUGUAAAGUACUUUCAGCGGGGAGGAAGGGAGUAAAGUUAAUACCUUUGCUCAUUGACGUUACCCGCAGAAGAAGCACCGGCUAACUCCGUGCCAGCAGCCGCGGUAAUACGGAGGGUGCAAGCGUUAGUCGGAAUUACUGGGCGUAAAGCGCACGCAGGCGGUUUGUUAAGUCAGAUGUGAAAUCCCCGGGCUCAACCUGGGAACUGCAUCUGAUACUGGCAAGCUUGAGUCUCGUAGAGGGGGGUAGAAUUCCAGGUGUAGCGGUGAAAUGCGUAGAGAUCUGGAGGAAUACCGGUGGCGAAGGCGGCCCCCUGGACGAAGACUGACGCUCAGGUGCGAAAGCGUGGGGAGCAAACAGGAUUAGAUACCCCUGUAGUC